Molecule: long non-coding RNA, 255 nt
Filed under: Malus domestica (apple)
Lineage: Eukaryota; Viridiplantae; Streptophyta; Magnoliopsida; Rosales; Rosaceae
Description: long non-coding RNA (MDOM_LNC015991)
Source: RNAcentral
AGAGAGCAAUCAGUCAGCACUUGGAAUCAAGCUUCCAGCCAGGAACUGACUGCCUGGAACCCCUUACCUGAUUACUUACCUGGCAUUGCUCUCGAGUACUCAUCUUCAACAUCUUAUGCUUCCAGGGAAGAUACCGCAUCUGCCUGAGGAACAGAUAGGGGCAAGUGAGAAGGAUACAAGGAAGCAUGUGGAGACAAGCGUAACAGCACACGUGCCGAUACAUCCACUACUCUGUCAAAAGCAAAAGUAUCCCAU